AGAGUUGUAGUCCUCGCGUCAUAGGACGAACGCUGGCGGCGUGCUUAACACAUGCAAGUCGAACGAUGAUGCCCAGCUUGCUGGGUGGAUUAGUGGCGAACGGGUGAGUAACACGUGAGUAACCUGCCCCUGACUCUGGGAUAAGCGUUGGAAACGACGUCUAAUACUGGAUAUGAUCACUGGCCGCAUGGUCUGGUGGUGGAAAGAUUUUUUGGUUGGGGAUGGACUCGCGGCCUAUCAGCUUGUUGGUGAGGUAAUGGCUCACCAAGGCGACGACGGGUAGCCGGCCUGAGAGGGUGACCGGCCACACUGGGACUGAGACACGGCCCAGACUCCUACGGGAGGCAGCAGUGGGGAAUAUUGCACAAUGGGCGAAAGCCUGAUGCAGCAACGCCGCGUGAGGGAUGACGGCCUUCGGGUUGUAAACCUCCUUUUAGUAGGGAAGAAGCGAAAGUGACGGUACCUGCAGAAAAAGCACCGGCUAACUACGUG
This 492-nucleotide ribosomal RNA is filed under the name uncultured Curtobacterium sp. RNAcentral's name for it is "bacterial SSU rRNA". It matches the Rfam family "Bacterial small subunit ribosomal RNA", at positions 1 to 507 of the family's 1533-position model. The record is from RNAcentral. Lineage: Bacteria; Bacillati; Actinomycetota; Actinomycetes; Micrococcales; Microbacteriaceae.